This is a long non-coding RNA of Sander lucioperca (pikeperch), 176 nucleotides long. RefSeq lists it as uncharacterized. NCBI's taxonomy places the organism in Eukaryota, Metazoa, Chordata, Actinopteri, Perciformes, Percidae. The record is from RefSeq and is a predicted model, not a curated record. The transcript is spliced from 2 exons.
UGUCGAAAAACGUCAUAGUAUAGUUUGUCGAAAAAAGGAAGAUCCUAAGGCCCUCUGGAGAAUGUGGGCAUCGAUCCCACUACCUCUUACAUGCUAAGCAAGCACUCUACUAUUUGAGCUAAUUCCCCUAUAGGUAACAUGAAUUAAAAGUCAUAAAAAUUCAUAGCAUAGUUUGU